This 1129-nucleotide long non-coding RNA is filed under the name Astyanax mexicanus (Mexican tetra). RNAcentral's name for it is "lncRNA (ENSAMXG00005018570.1)". Lineage: Eukaryota; Metazoa; Chordata; Actinopteri; Characiformes; Acestrorhamphidae. The record is from RNAcentral.
CUAACAGCUAACUGGCGAUGCUAACGGCUAACUUGCAAUGCUAACGGCUAACUGGCGUUGCUAACGGCUAACUAGCGAGGCUAGCUGGUUUUUUUUUUCGAGCUAAAUUAAUGGCUGCUGUUUGAUAACAGCUGGACUGCUCUGUGAACGAUUAAGACGUUCUCUGGUUUUAUAUAAUAUGUGGAUUAUUGCUUUAAUUUACUCCAGUCUUUAGUUAUUGACCUCAGAACACGGAAUGCAGCUAGCGGCUUAAUGCUAGGUAACAGCAGAACUCAGCAGGAUUGGAGCUUGUUAGCUUGGAUGCUAACUAUUUCCGAGCUGAAUUAAUCACUGGUGUUUGAUAUCAGUAGGGCGUUACUGUGCUGGUUAGAUAUGAGAUCAACUAUAUCUACAAUUACAGCAAACAAAGACCAAAGUAUGUGCAUUAGGCUACCAUGCACCCAGGGAAGAGUACAGCUGAUAUGGAUGACUCACUCUCCCUCUGUUGCCACACUCCUCUAUUUUUGGAGUUUAUCUCCAGGCUUUUAAACAAACAGCAAAAAAGGAGCGAGGCGCAGAGCAAGGCAUGGCUCUCUACCUUUCUAUCUCCUCCUCAGGCACGUCACAUGGUUGUAUGACUGGCAGUUAGCCCGAGGGCAACAGGUCUGAGGCGAGUGAAAGAGAGAGAGAGAGAGAGAGAGAGAGGGCUAAUUUCACAGACUCAGUUAGCCACUGACCUUCACACGUCUUUGGCUUUCCUUUCAGGGAGCAGGGGUGCUGCCCGCCGCUGUGGCAUACUGCUGGACUAUAAGUAGAAGUUAGAUCGUAUUGUUAACCAAGCUUAGCAGAUAAAGCUCCCUCCCCCCCUCGCAUUAUCUUUCUUAGCCAAUGUUUAUUGAGUAGAACGUGAUACGGCCUGUGUGCAUGUGCCUGCAGAAAAUAGAGCAGCCCGAGCUAAUGUCAGUGGAGGCAGAGGGGGGAGUGCCGCAUGCCAAAGCCUCUUUAACAUUGAGGAUCAAGGUAAUGAGGUUUCAGCUAUACAGCUCUACUCCAGCACACUGACAGUAGAGUAGAAAACACCCUGAUGAUCCUGUAGGUACUACCUGUAUGUGUACAUAUAAACAGUGACAGGCCAAAAGUCAUGUGUGAG